GGAGGUUGGUGAUGGACGAACGGCUCGCCAACCGGGUCAGGUCUGGAAAGAAGCAGCCCUAACGAGUGACAGUACGGGUCAUUAUGCCAACCUCCUAU
This 98-nucleotide signal recognition particle RNA is filed under the name Bartonella sp. F02. Its description in RNAcentral is "Bartonella sp. F2 signal recognition particle sRNA small type". It matches the Rfam family "Bacterial small signal recognition particle RNA". Rfam says of the family: The signal recognition particle (SRP) is a universally conserved ribonucleoprotein involved in the co-translational targeting of proteins to membranes. Archaeal SRP consists of a 7S RNA and homologues of the eukaryotic SRP19 and SRP54 proteins. The record is from RNAcentral. Lineage: Bacteria; Pseudomonadati; Pseudomonadota; Alphaproteobacteria; Hyphomicrobiales; Bartonellaceae.